ACUCUAGUUAAGCCACCUUCCUAGAGGGCCCUCCGGUUCUUUUACUGUUAUUGUUUGGUUAUUAUUUGGAUGUUUUAAUUACUGUCAUUUGCAAGGAAGUAUACUGUUGUUUAAGAGCCUCUUCUACACACGUCGCCCAUUUAGGUCUUGAAUCGCUUGCCUGACCUAUCUUCAAAGCAGACACCUGGCAUCCUGCCUACUUACCCAGUCUGAGGGAGCUGCACCUGCCCAGACCAUUAAGGGGGUUGAAAAACAUCAGCCUGGCAGGAUCUGGACAGCCUGUAAUUCCGGCAUUAGGGAAAGAGGUUGAGGCAGGAGGAUUCCAAAUACAAGGCUAGCUUCAGCUACAAAGCAAGAUCCUGUCUCAGCAAAAGAAAAGAUGAGAAAUACUGCAGGACCGUAGCAUAGCUUACUAAAACUUGUGGUCCUGGCAGGAAGACCCAAGAGACAAGAGAAAAGAAACAGGGAAAGGGUAAAGAAGAGCCCGAGCCCCACCAAACAGAAGGAUGGGUGAAAAAAAAGAAAGCAAAGGAAGAAAGUGGGUAUACAGACAGAUCAUGUCUUCUGAAAGGACAGCUGAGUCUCCAGCCGUGCGUGGCAGUUUGGCCACUAACAGGGAACUUCA
RNAcentral lists this long non-coding RNA (625 nucleotides) under Mus musculus (house mouse). RNAcentral's name for it is "predicted gene, 47941". Lineage: Eukaryota; Metazoa; Chordata; Mammalia; Rodentia; Muridae. The record is from RNAcentral.